This 500-nucleotide ribosomal RNA is filed under the name uncultured bacterium. RNAcentral describes it as "partial 16S ribosomal RNA". It matches the Rfam family "Bacterial small subunit ribosomal RNA", at positions 30 to 523 of the family's 1533-position model. The record is from RNAcentral.
AUUGAACGCUGGCGGCAUGCCUUACACAUGCAAGUCGAACGGCAGCACGGGAGCAAUCCUGGUGGCGAGUGGCGAACGGGUGAGUAAAGUAUCGGAACGUGCCCAGUCGUGAGGGAUAACGUAGCGAAAGUUACGCCAAUACCGCAUACGAUCUAUGGAUGAAAGCGGGGGAUCGCAAGACCUCGCGCGAUUGGAGCGGCCGAUAUCAGAUUAGGUAGUUGGUGGGGUAAAGGCUCACCAAGCCGACGAUCUGUAGCUGGUCUGAGAGGACGACCAGCCACACUGGGACUGAGCCACGGCCCAGACUCCUACGGGAGGAAGCAGUGGGGAAUUUUGGACAAUGGGCGAAAGCCUGAUCCAGCCAUGCCGCGUGCAGGAUGAAGGCCUUCGGGUCGUAAACUGCUUUUGUACGGAACGAAAAGGUUUGGCCUAAUAAGCUGAGCUCAUGACGGUACCGUAAGAAUAAGCACCGGCUAACUACGUGCCAGCCGCCGCAGUAA